GCAAACUUGGUCAUUUAGAGGAAGUAAAAGUCGUAACAAGGUUUCCGUAGGUGAACCUGCGGAAGGAUCAUUAACCUUUCAAAUCAGGGUGCGUCGCGGCCCCCGAGGAGCGGAAACAAUCCUUGGGAGGUUUGCGGAGUCUUCGGACCCCUUAACGCACGCACGACUGCCAUCCUUACUUUACGAGCACCUUCUGUUCUCCCUCGGCGGGGCAACCUGCCGUUGGAACCGAAUAAACUCUUUUUGCAUCUAGCAUUACCUGUUCCGAAACAAACAAUCGUUACAACUUUCAACAAUGGAUCUCUUGGCUCUGGCAUCGAUGAAGAACGCAGC
This 333-nucleotide unclassified non-coding RNA is filed under the name uncultured fungus. Its description in RNAcentral is "partial contains small subunit ribosomal RNA, internal transcribed spacer 1, and 5.8S ribosomal RNA". The stretch from base 1 to 73 matches the Rfam family "Eukaryotic small subunit ribosomal RNA", at positions 1759 to 1831 of the family's 1831-position model. Lineage: Eukaryota; Fungi. The record is from RNAcentral.